This 1069-nucleotide long non-coding RNA is filed under the name Carassius auratus (goldfish). Its description in RNAcentral is "lncRNA (ENSCARG00000031490.1)". The record is from RNAcentral. Lineage: Eukaryota; Metazoa; Chordata; Actinopteri; Cypriniformes; Cyprinidae.
AUGGAGAAGACAGAAAGCUGCGGAGGCAGAUAUUUGCAGCAUGUUCAAGUGAGCAUGAAGACCACAAGUGUGUGUCGAACUUUUCAUGACCUGAUGACUGUGUUUCCCAAUCCUGAUCCUGGAGAACCCCAGCACUGCACGGUUUUGGUGUCUCUUUUAUCUGCCUUGGAGUCUUCACUGAUGAGCUGAUGAGUUGAAUCAGGUGUGUUUGAAUAGGGAGACAUCUCAAAUGUGCAGUGUUGGGGUUCUCCAGGACCAGGAUUGGGAGCCACUGCCUUAUGGGACACUUAUGUGUUUACAGAGAUUUUUAAUAUCUAAUUAUCAAUAUUUCACAUACUGUACAUUGGACAGCUUUCCGUGACAUCUUGUGAGAUCUCGGCAAAAAGUCUGACAAUUCAUUCCAAAACAUGAUGCAUGAUGGGAUACACUAAGCUUUGUAUAGCGCUCCGGAGCAGUAUUGGAGAGGUUUAGUGUGUGUUAAGAACGCUGUGCUUUGGCAUUAUUAAGACUGGGGACAGUCUCGUUCACACACUGUCACGUACACACACUCUCAAGUGGCCAAUACUGCAAGUGUGGGUAUCUGGACAGGGUCAAAGUCUUAAAAAUGAUCCCUAAACACAGCCGCACAUCACAGUCUUAAUAAUCCAGUUUAACACUUGUAUGAUAUUGUACAAGCCCCAGGACGGUCUCAUCUGACACUAUCAGAAUAAUUCAUAUGACUAUAGCUUGCUAUUAAUUACUUGCUUUCAAUAAUGGAUGCAUUUAACAUUUAAUUAUACAGCAUCUUUACAGAGGUGUAAUGUACAAGAUGCACGUAAUUAAUAAUAUUUCCUUCUUUCUGUCUUACAGGAUUUUUUGCAGAUACUGCUGUUCUUCUUUUUCAGGUAUAAAAUAUCGAGCUCAACAGCUAUUUUAAGAGCCAACCCUCACAAACCUUCCUAAAAACUAAAAGAGCUAUUACUGAGUCUCAGCGAAUCUUGCCAUGAUCAGCUCUUCCCAGGUACAUUUGUUUAGAAUAUUUUUUAAUCAACAUUUACUCAUCAAAUGCUCUGGUCUGAAUCUUACUUUA